UACGAAGGGUGCAAGCGUUACUCGGAAUUACUGGGCGUAAAGGGUGCGUAGGUGGUUUGUUAAGUCUGCUGUGAAAUCCCCGGGCUCAACCUGGGAAUGGCAGUGGAUACUGGCAAGCUAGAGUGCGGUAGAGGGUAGUGGAAUUUCCGGUGUAGCGGUGAAAUGCGUAGAUAUCGGAAGGAACAUCAGUGGCGAAAGCGACUUCCUGGUCCAGCAUCGACGUUCAGGCACGAAAGCGUGGGGAGCAAACAGG
This 253-nucleotide ribosomal RNA is filed under the name uncultured bacterium. Its description in RNAcentral is "partial 16S ribosomal RNA". It matches the Rfam family "Bacterial small subunit ribosomal RNA", at positions 524 to 776 of the family's 1533-position model. The record is from RNAcentral.